RNAcentral lists this ribosomal RNA (433 nucleotides) under uncultured bacterium. RNAcentral's name for it is "partial 16S ribosomal RNA". It matches the Rfam family "Bacterial small subunit ribosomal RNA", at positions 29 to 507 of the family's 1533-position model. The record is from RNAcentral.
AACGAACGCUGGCGGCAUGCCUAACACAUGCCAGUCGAACGAGACCUUCGGGUCUUGUGGCGCACGGGUGCGUAACGCGUGGGAACCUGCCCUUAGGUUCGGAAUAACUCCCCGAAAGGGGUGCUAAUACCGGAUAAUGUCUUCGGACCAAUGAUUUAUCGCCUUUGGAUGGGCCCGCGUUGGAUUAGCUAGUUGGUAGGGUAAAAGCCUACCAAGGCGACGAUCCAUAGCUGGUCUGAGAGGAUGGUCAGCCACACUGGGACUGAGACACGGCCCAGACUCCUACGGGAGGCAGCAGUGGGGAAUAUUGGACAAUGGGCGAAAGCCUGAUCCAGCAAUGCCGCGUGAGUGAUGAAGGCCUUAGGGUUGUAAAGCUCUUUUACCCGGGAUGAUAAUGACAGUACCGGGAGAAUAAGCUCCGGCUAACUCCGUG